GGCGGAAUAGUGGGGCGAGUGUGGCGGAAUAGUGGGGCGAGUGUGGCGGAAUAGUGGGGCGAGUGUGGCGGAAUAGUGGAGCGAGUGUGGCGGAAGAGUGUUGCAGGGCGUGGCGCAAAAUCAGCCAUCAUCAGCACAGUUGCAGAGACGUACGCACCUUCAGCACAACUUCAGCGGACAGGACAACAUCGACGCAAACACAGAAGAUACGUUACAUGGACACCCAGAGUAUACGACCUUCUUCCAACUACAGAUGGAUUCUACGAACAUUUUCAUCCCCAUCAUCUGACGUCAUCAGCACAGUUGGGAAGACAUCGAUCACAGAUUACCUAGCUCGGACGAAUCAACGGAAUAACAGACGAAGGACACAGCAACCGAGUGGCGGACAAGCAGCGGACAAGUGGCAAGCAUCGAGGGAUCAACAUAAUUGUUGUUUUGUGUGUGUUUUUCAGGUCUCCCACAAUCUG
Molecule: long non-coding RNA, 467 nt
Organism: Priapulus caudatus
Lineage: Eukaryota; Metazoa; Priapulida; Priapulimorpha; Priapulimorphida; Priapulidae
Exons: 3
Source: RefSeq, a predicted model, not a curated record